Molecule: ribosomal RNA, 750 nt
Filed under: Virgibacillus halodenitrificans
Lineage: Bacteria; Bacillati; Bacillota; Bacilli; Caryophanales; Bacillaceae
Description: bacterial SSU rRNA
Rfam family: Bacterial small subunit ribosomal RNA
Source: RNAcentral
GUUUUCGGAUCGUAAAGCUCUGUUGUUAGGGAAGAACAAGUGCCGUUCGAAUAGGGCGGCACCUUGACGGUACCUAACCAGAAAGCCCCGGCUAACUACGUGCCAGCAGCCGCGGUAAUACGUAGGGGGCAAGCGUUGUCCGGAAUUAUUGGGCGUAAAGCGCGCGCAGGCGGUCCUUUAAGUCUGAUGUGAAAGCCCACGGCUCAACCGUGGAGGGUCAUUGGAAACUGGAGGACUUGAGUACAGAAGAGGAGAGUGGAAUUCCACGUGUAGCGGUGAAAUGCGUAGAGAUGUGGAGGAACACCAGUGGCGAAGGCGACUCUCUGGUCUGUAACUGACGCUGAGGCGCGAAAGCGUGGGGAGCGAACAGGAUUAGAUACCCUGGUAGUCCACGCCGUAAACGAUGAGUGCUAGGUGUUAGGGGGUUUCCGCCCCUUAGUGCUGAAGUUAACGCAUUAAGCACUCCGCCUGGGGAGUACGGCCGCAAGGCUGAAACUCAAAAGAAUUGACGGGGGCCCGCACAAGCGGUGGAGCAUGUGGUUUAAUUCGACGCAACGCGAAGAACCUUACCAGGUCUUGACAUCCUCUGCAAUCGGUAGAGAUACCGAGUUCCCUUCGGGGACAGAGUGACAGGUGGUGCAUGGUUGUCGUCAGCUCGUGUCGUGAGAUGUUGGGUUAAGUCCCGCAACGAGCGCAACCCUUGAUCUUAGUUGCCAGCAUUUAGUUGGGCACUCUAAGGUGACUGCCGGU